AUUUAGGGUUAGGAUUUGGUUAGGGUUUGAUUUAGGGUUAGGAUUUGGUUAGGAUUUGAUUUAGAAUUAGGAUUUGAUUUAGGAUUUAUAAUUUAGGAUUUGGUUAGGAUUUGAUUUAAGAUUUAGGAUUUGGUUUAGGAUUUAAGAUUUGAUUAGGAUUUGAUCAAGAUUUGAUUUAGGAUUUAGGGUUUUAUUUGAGUUUAUUUAGGAUUUAAGAUUUAGUUAGUUUUUUGCCUAAAGUUUGAAUGAAGUCCAAUAAGAUUUCAACUAGGAUUAAAUUAAGAUUGAAUUGAGAUGUAUUUAAGAUAUGUUUGUAAUCAUUCUAAUAUUUCUGUAAGAUUUCUUAUUGUUUCUUUGGAAUUCUUUUGAGGUUUUUCUGAAUUUGAUUAAAGCUUGUUUAGCAUUGUUAGUGUUCUAUUAGAAUUAAGAUUUUGUUGUU
Molecule: long non-coding RNA, 439 nt
Filed under: Physcomitrium patens
Lineage: Eukaryota; Viridiplantae; Streptophyta; Bryopsida; Funariales; Funariaceae
Description: long non-coding RNA (PPAT_LNC014267)
Source: RNAcentral